This is a long non-coding RNA of Pseudopipra pipra, 2421 nucleotides long. RefSeq lists it as uncharacterized. NCBI's taxonomy places the organism in Eukaryota, Metazoa, Chordata, Aves, Passeriformes, Pipridae. The transcript has 3 exons. The record is from RefSeq and is a predicted model, not a curated record.
CCCUCCGGCACGGCGCACACACACGCGUAGCCAAUCAGAACAGAGCAGGGCGGGCCGCCAACCAAUAGGAGGCGAGAAGGGCGGGGCCCGGGCAUCAAGGGGCGCGGCGCCGCCGCGGGGCCUUCUGGGAGUUGUCGUUCUGACGGCGGCGCUGACCCGGCUCCUCCCUUGCACAGGUGGUUAAAAGGUCAGUUGGAAUCGGGUUUGAAAAUUACCCACCAGACAAGAUACACCUGCAAAGACACCUGUGCCCAAUAGCCGUCACUCGCUUCAGAAGCUGCAGGAAACUGGUCUGGCGUGUGAUUAACCGAAGUGCUCUCGCAGAGCCCUCACAGAGCCCUCACGGAGCUGCACUGAACAGCAACGGAUUUCAGUGUUCAUAAAGUUAAUAAAACGCAUUAAAUACUUAGAUUAACGUAUUCUAUGAACCAGUAAUGCUAAAUACUAGCACAUCUGAUAUCAAAUACAUCACAAAUACAAGGGUUGCUGAAGUGUCACUUGAUAUCUUUAAGGUACAGCCUCGGUUUUCACCCGGAAUCCAGCGAUGGGACUCAAGCUGAACCAGCCCAGGUGGUCUUUGAGGUCGGCUCUGAAAGUAAACCUGACAUAGUUUGGCAUUGGAAUUGUGGGGUUUUGAACAGCUGGAGGUGGUGGAUGGGAGUCAGUUCACGAACUGGGCACAUCUCCAGCACCCAGUGCCCCCUUCCAGCUAGAUAUAUUCCAUGAUUCCAUGACACUGAACAACAAUCUACUUGCCCAUGGUCCUUGCUUUGCCACGGACACGCUCCCUCUCUUGCCACAGGAUCACCUUUGGAAAAGGAAAGGUCUCUGUCACCCUGUUCAGGGUUGGAAAACCAAAGGUUGCUUUUCAACAUUCGCUGGACGACGUCGAACAAACCAUCUCCCAACAGCUGCCUCGCUUUCCCUGUUUGCAAAUAAGGGAUAACAACACCUCUCCAGUCAAGUCCUUGUGCUAAAAACACCACAGAAGACCCAGGGGUGUUGUUGGAGAGGCAGGAAUUCCUGAGCCAGGGCAGGAACAGCCAUUAUUUGCAUCACUUGUAGCUGCUGGGUGUUUUCUGAACCAGCCUCGCUCCAUCCUGUCAAAGACACUGCUCUUGGCUGCUCUCCUGGAGGUGCUUCUUCAGCCCAAAGCUGCACAUUAAUGACUUAAUUGCAUGGAAAUUGCUGGAAUCUGUAGCAGGAACUGUGACCCAGGGAUGCUGAAAUCAGGCAUGUGACAACAAAGCCCUCUUACCUCACAAUCUCAAAGUUUUGCUGCCAAGAGGAGAAGGAACUGGAAUGAUCUGUACUCGGCCAGCGGCUCGACGGCCACGGCGGAGGAGAUUCCAAGCACCGGUUGCCUGGUUGGCAUUUUCUCCCAGCACCAUCCUUGAGAGAGCUCUCAAACAGCUCUGACAGUCCACAGAGAGAAGCCCCUGACAUAUGGAUGGCUUUGGCCUGCAGCAAAGAGUCUUUCAUUUCCAACUAUUAAAGGGGAGCCAUAAAUCCUGGGGUACCUCAGCCCUGCUCUUCCCACAGCCAGGGAACCUCCCAGACACACCAAAACCACCCAAAGCCAUUUGGAGAUGGAAUUCUGCCCAUUUGUCCUGAAAUCUUCACAUGUUUCCACGUUCUGUAAUUUCCAGUCCCACAAAACAAUCAUUAAAAAAAAAAGCCCCCAAAACCAAACCCUGGCAGGAAAUAGAGCUGUUGUUAAAACCUCCAUUCCUAAAUAUAAAUCAGCAAGACAAGGGUAUUUUCACUGAACUCUCCCAAAUAUAGGAGAAGAGCUGCUUUCUGAUUUGGGGCUGGGCAUUUAUUCACUGAGUAAAUACAGUUUGACCCCUAAAAAUAGAUGCAGCUUGACCCCUAAAAAUAAAUGCAGCUUGACCCUAAAAAACACUCCUAGUGGAGAAAAAUAAGGAAACUCAACCCUCUCAGUUUGGUGCUCAGUGGGAAGACAGAGGGAUUCCCAAUCCAUUUAUUCCCUUAAAAACACACAGUUCCCCCUCACAGAAAGUGGUUUAACAUCUAUACAAACCAGGCAUAAAAUCACAUCCAGGGAACAGCUCUAAGACCCCGAAAUAUUCCCAAGCAGCUUUUAUUUGGGAGCAAAGUGGCCACCAGCCAAGGCUUCAGCAAGAUCUGACACUGCUGAAAUGUUGGCUGAUAGUUUAUACCCAAAUAAAAAUGGCUUGCAAAUAUAUCAAGGGCACGUGAGCAGCUCUGGUGAUGCAGCCAGAGUGGGGUUUUCAUGGAGGCAGGGAAAGAAAAUGCAUCAGGAUGAAAAAAUCCUGAUGAUUAUUGUGCAAAAACCACGCUGGGGCAAAUUUCUUCUAAGUGGAACUGAAGAUUUUGGUGUCACUCUGGUACAAAUAGGCUUCCAGUCCUUGAGCCAAGACAAGAAGGGUUUGGAAA